CCUUAUCUUAUCAACUAGAGACUUGGAUCUUAACGGCCAAACUAUAAAAAUGGGGUGCUCGGUCUCUUCCCAUAGAAUGAUAUGCAAGUAAGACUCAACAACCGUGGGACCCACACAACCCUCAACUUCCCAGCCGCCAUGACCGUGAGGAAGAAAUCCCUAACUUUUAUUAAUUGUUCAGCCUGGGCUAGUUUGUUACAGUAACUCGAAGUACAGACGUAAAUGCUAAUCUCAGCUUCUGAUGUUACUAAAAUGGGUCAUGGCAAGAAACUCUAGGUGACGAUGCACAGGUACCAUUUUUUCAGCUCUGCCUCCUAAUUGGUUGUGUUGUGGUCCAUCAGGAGAGGGAAUAGAUGGUCAUGAGCCACCAUGCGGUUGCUGGGAUUGAACUCAGGACCUCUGGAAGAACAGCCAGUGCUCUUAACCACUGAGCCAUCUCACCAGCCCCCAUUGUAACUCUUUAGUACAUUCUUAACUGCAUGUUGAAAAUGUUUAGAGCCCUUUUACACACAGAGUCCGUGAAGCAUCCCCACGCAUCCAUCAGACUCAGCUGAAUGUGUCGUGAGUGCUAAAGACCCAAUUCCUAUGAUGGCUACUAGGGUGACAAUCAUAAGCAAAACAAAAAUUCUUGCCUGGGAGUAGGAAUGUAGCUAUGCAAACAGAAAGUACAGCCGUGGAAGAUGGCCCUAAAGGCAGCCGCCCCAGGGAGAUGAGACCACAGGAGCUGGUAAGACUUUCAACCAGAACCCAACCUCCAUCCCUCCAAGAAAGCUGAGCUAGGUCACCACUGACCUGGCAUGAAUAGGAGCCAUUCAGCAAGAUGGGGACCCGGAAGACAUUGUAGAAGGGCAUGGUUGUGCAUAAAGACGAGAGAGAUCAUGAUGUGGAAGAAAAGGCGGGCAGGAGCAGAAGGGUGAGACGGAGUCAACGACAGUGCUAGAACCCGGAUGCUGGGCUAGGUUUUCCAGCCUUUCUUCAAGAGGCUGGUGAUCCUCAAAAUGGAGCAGAGAUUAAGAAUUUAUAUUUAUUUAUGUUGUGGUUUUGGAGGCUUCUAACUUAAUGCCUGUUUGUUUUUUAACUUUAUGCUGUUUGUAGUUUGUUGGGGUUUGGGGGCUUGGGUUUUGGUUUUGGUUUUGACAAUGUCUCAUUACGGAAUCAUAGCCAGCCUGGAACUUGCUGUGUAGACCAGAUUGGCUUUGAACUCAGAGAGUUCCACCUGCCGCUCUCUAUUGAGUGCUAAGAUUAAAGAUGUGCAUCACCC
Molecule: long non-coding RNA, 1261 nt
Organism: Grammomys surdaster
Lineage: Eukaryota; Metazoa; Chordata; Mammalia; Rodentia; Muridae
Exons: 2
Source: RefSeq, a predicted model, not a curated record